Molecule: ribosomal RNA, 500 nt
Filed under: uncultured bacterium
Lineage: Bacteria
Description: bacterial SSU rRNA
Rfam family: Bacterial small subunit ribosomal RNA
Source: RNAcentral
GAUGAACGCUAGCGGCAGGCUUAAUACAUGCAAGUCGAGGGGCAGCGGGAGUAGCAAUACUUGCCGGCGACCGGCGCACGGGUGCGUAACACGUAUGUAAUCUGCCCAUCACAGGAGGAUAGCCCGGAGAAAUUCGGAUUAAUACUCCAUAAUAGAAGAUAAAGCAUUUUAUUUUCUUGAAAGUUCCGACGGUGAUGGAUGAACAUGCGACUGAUUAGUUUGUUGGUGAGGUAACGGCUCACCAAGACUACGAUCAGUAGGGGUACUGAGAGGUUAAACCCCCCANACUGGUACUGAGACACGGGACCAGACUCCUACGGGAGGCAGCAGUAAGGAUAUUGGACAAUGGCCGCAAGGCUGAUCCAGCCAUGCCGCGUGCAGGAAGACGGACCUAUGGUUUGUAAAACUGCUUUUUGAACGGGAGAAAACCCCCCUACGUGUAGGGGGCUGAUAGUACUGUUAGAAUAAGCAUCGGCUAACUUCGUGCCAGCAGCCGCGGU